AUGGCCUCCAUGGGGGGGGGGGGGGGGGGGGGGGGGGGGGGGUUGGCCGCCAUCCAUCCCCCCAUCAAUCAAUCAACCCCCAUCAAUCAAUCAACCCCCAUCAAUCGAUCAACCCCCGUCAAUCAAUCAACUCCUCCCCCCAUUCCAUUGGUGGGAGGGUCCUUCUCUCAGCCCCCUCAAUUCCAUUGGUCGGAGGUCAAUCAAUCAAUCAAACUCCCCAAUCCCAUUGGUGGGAGGUCAAUCAAUCAAUCAACCCCCUAUUCCAUUGGUGGGAGGUCAAUCAAUCAAUCAACCCCCCCCCGUCAAUCAAUCAAGCCCCCCCAUUCCAUUGGUGGGAGGGCUCUUCUCCCACAGCCCCAAUCCCAUUGGUGGGAGGUCAAUCAAUCAACCCCUUGUGGGAGGGUCCUUCUCACCCCCCCCCAACCCCAUUGGUGGUCAAUCCAUCAAUCAAUCAACCCCCCCCAUUCCAUUGGUGGAGGGUCCUUCUCUCACAAGCCCAAUCCCAUUGGUAGGUCAAUCCAUCAUCAAUCAAUCCCCACCUACUCCAUUAGGUGGAGGGUCCUUCUCGUCACAGCCCCAACCCAUUGGUGGGAGUCAACUCAAUCAACCCGCUUGUUGGAGAGUUCCUUUCUCACCCCCCCCCAACCCCAUUGGUGGUCAAUCAUCAAAUCACCCCAUCCCCCGAUCCCAUUGCGCUGGGGGGGGGCAUGCUCUCACAGCUUGAGCUCAUUGCCACCUUGAGGCGAUGGUUCUUGAAGUGCCAUGGAUGGUGCCGCGAUCGUUUGGAACCGGACCUCCGUUCAACGGAGAGCCGGGGCAGUUUGCAAACCUCCAUCUCCCAUUGACGAAGGAGUCGUUGGCGCGGGCUCCAUAGUGCACACAGCAGACGAAGCGCUCCUGCAGCUCACAGCGGCAGCUGUUGGCGGUCCAGCACUUUGCCGGAUCUCCGCUCACAUCUCCCCAGGUUCCAGCUGACGUUGUUUUCAUGCUCCGACGUGAAGCGUAAGGAGCAGGAGCUUGGCGUCCCGGGCGGUCGUCCUGUCCAGCCCACGGCCGGGCUGGAGGGAAAUGGGGGGUGAGAUGGGGGGAUAUUGGGGAUAUGGGGUAUGGGGGGGAUAUGGGGGCAAGUGGUGAUGGGGCGUAUGGUGGGAUUGGGGAUAACGGGGAGGGGGUAACAAGGUUAUGGGGGGUGAUGGGGUGAUGGGGGGGUGAUGGGGA
Molecule: long non-coding RNA, 1218 nt
Filed under: Coturnix japonica (Japanese quail)
Lineage: Eukaryota; Metazoa; Chordata; Aves; Galliformes; Phasianidae
Description: lncRNA (ENSCJPG00005001826.1)
Source: RNAcentral